GCCUUCUCUGUGGCUGCACCAUAGUUCCAAGGGGGUAAACAAGUGGCUGUCGCUGUUACUUAAUUUGAAGCUAAAGUCUGUCUACCCUGCAAAAGUCAGCUCUAUUUUCAAAAAGAACUUGAUUUUCGGUCUGAAUAAUCCCUUUCUGAAGUGGGCAAUGAACAAGUAAUAGAUUAAUAAAUUAAACUGAAGAGUGAAAAUAAGGCACGGAAGUCACAGGACCCACUUCCUGAAAACAAGUGGAGGAGGUAACUUUCCACCUCUCCUGGCUGCAGAGCUUCACUCUGAAGACUUCCUAUUUCCUGAAUUCAGACCAGCAAUGAUUGCUUCAGAAACUUCUGCUCAUGAGAUGUUACCAUAUAUCUGACCAUGAAUGCAUCCUAUUAAAAACAUUGUGAAUAUUUAUAUAA
Long non-coding RNA from Felis catus (domestic cat), 410 nucleotides. RefSeq lists it as uncharacterized. The record is from RefSeq and is a predicted model, not a curated record. The transcript is spliced from 3 exons. NCBI's taxonomy places the organism in Eukaryota, Metazoa, Chordata, Mammalia, Carnivora, Felidae.